GAGUUUGAUCAUGGCUCAGAUUGAACGCUGGCGGCAGGCCUAACACAUGCAAGUCGAGCGGAUGACGGGAGCUUGCUCCUUGAUUCAGCGGCGGACGGGUGAGUAAUGCCUAGGAAUCUGCCUGGUAGUGGGGGACAACGUUUCGAAAGGAACGCUAAUACCGCAUACGUCCUACGGGAGAAAGCAGGGGACCUUCGGCCUUGCGCUAUCAGAUGAGCCUAGGUCGGAUUAGCUAGUUGGUGGGGUAAUGGCUCACCAAGGCGACGAUCCGUAACUGGUCUGAGAGGAUGAUCAGUCACACUGGAACUGAGACACGGUCCAGACUCCUACGGAGGCAGCAGUGGGGAUAUUGGACAAUGGGCGAAAGCCUGAUCCAGCCAUGCCGCGUGUGUGAAAGAAGGUCUUCGGAUUGUAAAA
RNAcentral lists this ribosomal RNA (417 nucleotides) under bacterium enrichment culture clone ALO1_GLFRUDD03GC95U. RNAcentral's name for it is "bacterial SSU rRNA". It matches the Rfam family "Bacterial small subunit ribosomal RNA", at positions 9 to 430 of the family's 1533-position model. The record is from RNAcentral.